AAAGGAAUAGACGGGGGCCCGCACAAGCAGUGGAGCAUGUGGUUUAAUUCGAAGCAACGCGAAGAACCUUACCAGGUCUUGACAUCCUUUGACCACUCUGGAGACAGAGCUUCCCCUUCGGGGGCAAAGUGACAGGUGGUGCAUGGUUGUCGUCAGCUCGUGUCGUGAGAUGUUGGGUUAAGUCCCGCAACGAGCGCAACCCUUGACCUUAGUUGCCAGCAUUUAGUUGGGCACUCUAAGGUGACUGCCGGUGACAAACCGGAGGAAGGUGGGGAUGACGUCAAAUCAUCAUGCCCCUUAUGACCUGGGCUACACACGUGCUACAAUGGAUGGUACAAAGGGUUGCGAAGCCGCGAGGUGAAGCCAAUCCCAUAAAGCCAUUCUCAGUUCGGAUUGUAGGCUGCAACUCGCCUGCAUGAAGCUGGAAUUGCUAGUAAUCGCGGAUCAGCAUGCCGCGGUGAAUACGUUCCCGGGCCUUGUACACACCGCCCGU
RNAcentral lists this ribosomal RNA (493 nucleotides) under uncultured bacterium. Its description in RNAcentral is "bacterial SSU rRNA". It matches the Rfam family "Bacterial small subunit ribosomal RNA", at positions 903 to 1397 of the family's 1533-position model. The record is from RNAcentral.